AUAUUUUCUGCAAUUAAGCAAUGACAUUCUGAAACAUUUGAGUGUGUAAAAUAGACGAAACCCCAUAGCCUCACGGCACGUAAACGGGGGGAAUGCGUCUCUAAGGGUGCACGGGGUGUGAAUGAAUGAAGAAGCGUGCACUUGUAAGAACCAGCACAACCUCAAAACUCGUUAAUGAUCCUUCCGCAGGUUCACCUACGGAAA
Molecule: unclassified non-coding RNA, 204 nt
Filed under: uncultured fungus
Lineage: Eukaryota; Fungi
Description: sequence contains ITS1
Source: RNAcentral